GACGAACGCUGGCGGCGUGCCUAAUACAUGCAAGUCGUGCGGACCUUGUUGAAAGCUUGCUUUUAAAAGGUUAGCGGCGGACGGGUGAGUAACACGUGGGCAACCUGCCUGUAAGACUGGGAUAACGCCGGGAAACCGGGGCUAAUACCAGAUCGUUUUUUCCUCCGCAUGGAGGAAAAAGGAAAGGCGGCUUCGGCUGCCACUUACAGAUGGGCCCGCGGCGCAUUAGCUAGUUGGCGGGGUAAUGGCCCACCAAGGCAACGAUGCGUAGCCGACCUGAGAGGGUGAUCGGCCACAUUGGGACUGAGACACGGCCCAAACUCCUACGGGAGGCAGCAGUAGGGAAUCUUCCGCAAUGGACGAAAGUCUGACGGAGCAACGCCGCGUGGGUGAAGAAGGCCUUCGGGUCGUAAAACUCUGUUGCCGGGGAAGAACAAGUGCCGUUCGAACAGGGCGGCGCCUUGACGGUACCCGGCCAGAAAGCCACGGCUAACUACGUG
RNAcentral lists this ribosomal RNA (500 nucleotides) under uncultured bacterium. Its description in RNAcentral is "partial 16S ribosomal RNA". It matches the Rfam family "Bacterial small subunit ribosomal RNA", at positions 28 to 507 of the family's 1533-position model. The record is from RNAcentral.